AAAUUGAAGAGUUUGAUCAUGGCUCAGAUUGAACGCUGGCGGCAGGCCUAACACAUGCAAGUCGAACGGUAACAGGAAGCAGCUUGCUGCUUCGCUGACGAGUGGCGGACGGGUGAGUAAUGUCUGGGAAACUGCCUGAUGGAGGGGGAUAACUACUGGAAACGGUGGCUAAUACCGCAUAACGUCGCAAGACCAAAGAGGGGGACCUUCGGGCCUCUUGCCAUCAGAUGUGCCCAGAUGGGAUUAGCUUGUUGGUGAGGUAACGGCUCACCAAGGCGACGAUCCCUAGCUGGUCUGAGAGGAUGACCAGCCACACUGGAACUGAGACACGGUCCAGACUCCUACGGGAGGCAGCAGUGGGGAAUAUUGCACAAUGGGCGCAAGCCUGAUGCAGCCAUGCCGCGUGUAUGAAGAAGGCCUUCGGGUUGUAAAGUACUUUCAGCGGGGAGGAAGGUGUUGUGGUUAAUAACCGCAGCAAUUGACGUUACCCGCAGAAGAAGCACCGGCUAACUCCGUGCCAGCAGCCGCGGUAAUACGGAGGGUGCAAGCGUUAAUCGGAAUUACUGGGCGUAAAGCGCACGCAGGCGGUCUGUCAAGUCGGAUGUGAAAUCCCCGGGCUCAACCUGGGAACUGCAUUCGAAACUGGCAGGCUUGAGUCUUGUAGAGGGGGGUAGAAUUCCAGGUGUAGCGGUGAAAUGCGUAGAGAUCUGGAGGAAUACCGGUGGCGAAGGCGGCCCCCUGGACAAAGACUGACGCUCAGGUGCGAAAGCGUGGGGAGCAAACAGGAUUAGAUACCCU
Molecule: ribosomal RNA, 798 nt
Filed under: Salmonella enterica subsp. enterica
Lineage: Bacteria; Pseudomonadati; Pseudomonadota; Gammaproteobacteria; Enterobacterales; Enterobacteriaceae
Also listed under: 1 other name
Description: partial 16S ribosomal RNA
Rfam family: Bacterial small subunit ribosomal RNA
Source: RNAcentral